CUCGCCACUUCGGUCAGGUAUAGUCUUAGCAUGUCUACUCAAGGAACUAAUGGUAGUGGAGUGCAAGGAUCUAAACGUCCUCGUCAAUCUGGGAGUAGACCACCGACUCCAUCUUCAGGUGGCGGAAAUGGUGCUGCAUCAGAGGAAACAGCAACACAAGGUACUAAUACUACUGAUGUGGUAGAAAUAGAAGAUGAUGGUGAUGGAAAAGUUGGGAAUAAGAAGAAGAAAUCUAAGAUUUGGGAUGAAUUUACU
Molecule: long non-coding RNA, 255 nt
Organism: Panicum virgatum (switchgrass)
Lineage: Eukaryota; Viridiplantae; Streptophyta; Magnoliopsida; Poales; Poaceae
Exons: 2
Source: RefSeq, a predicted model, not a curated record